GACGAACGCUGGCGGCGUGCUUAACACAUGCAAGUCGAACGAAGAGCGAUGGAAGCUUGCUUCUAUCAAUCUUAGUGGCGAACGGGUGAGUAACGCGUAAUCAACCUGCCCUUCAGAGGGGGACAACAGUUGGAAACGACUGCUAAUACCGCAUACGAUCUAAUCUCGGCAUCGAGGAUAGAUGAAAGGUGGCCUCUACAUGUAAGCUAUCACUGAAGGAGGGGAGUGCGUCUGAUUAGCUAGUUGGAGGGGUAACGGCCCAACAAGGCGAUGAUCAGUAGCCGGUCUGAGAGGAUGAACGGCCACAUUGGGACUGAGACACGGCCCAGACUCCUACGGGAGGCAGCAGUGGGGAAUCUUCCGCAAGGGACGAAAGUCUGACGGAGCAACGCCGCGGGAGUGAUGACGGCCUUCGGGUUGUAAAGCUCUGUUAAUCGGGACGAAAGGCCUUCUUGCGAAUAGUGAGAAGGAUUGACGGUACCGGAAUAGAAAGCCACGGCUAACUACGUG
This 510-nucleotide ribosomal RNA is filed under the name uncultured bacterium. RNAcentral describes it as "partial 16S ribosomal RNA". It matches the Rfam family "Bacterial small subunit ribosomal RNA", at positions 28 to 507 of the family's 1533-position model. The record is from RNAcentral.